AGAACGAACGCUGGCGGCAUGCCUAACACAUGCAAGUCGAACGAGACCUUCGGGUCUAGUGGCGCACGGGUGCGUAACGCGUGGGAAUCUGCCCUUAGGUACGGAAUAACAGUGAGAAAUUACUGCUAAUACCGUAUGAUGUCUUCGGACCAAAGAUUUAUCGCCUAGGGAUGAGCCCGCGUUGGAUUAGCUAGUUGGUGGGGUAAAGGCCUACCAAGGCGACGAUCCAUAGCUGGUCUGAGAGGAUGAUCAGCCACACUGGGACUGAGACACGGCCCAGACUCCUACGGGAGGCAGCAGUGGGGAAUAUUGGACAAUGGGUGAAAGGCCUGAUCCAGCAAUGCCGCGUGAGUGAAGAAGGCCUUCGGGUUGUAAAGCUCUUUUACCCGGGAAGAUAAUGACUGUACCGGGAGAAUAAGCCCGGCUAACUCCGUGCCAGCAGCCGC
RNAcentral lists this ribosomal RNA (446 nucleotides) under uncultured bacterium. Its description in RNAcentral is "SSU rRNA". It matches the Rfam family "Bacterial small subunit ribosomal RNA", at positions 26 to 518 of the family's 1533-position model. The record is from RNAcentral.